This 373-nucleotide ribosomal RNA is filed under the name uncultured cyanobacterium. RNAcentral's name for it is "bacterial SSU rRNA". It matches the Rfam family "Bacterial small subunit ribosomal RNA", at positions 355 to 743 of the family's 1533-position model. The record is from RNAcentral. Lineage: Bacteria; Bacillati; Cyanobacteriota.
UGGGGAAUUUUCCGCAAUGGGCGCAAGCCUGACGGAGCAAGACCGCGUGCGGGAGGACGGCCUAUUGGUUGUAAACCGCUUUUGAUAGGGAAGAAGUUCUGACGGUACCUAUCGAAUCAGCAUCGGCUAACUCCGUGCCAGCAGCCGCGGUAAUACGGAGGAUGCAAGCGUUAUCCGGAAUUAUUGGGCGUAAAGCGUCCGUAGGUGGUUGUUCAAGUCUGCUGUUAAAGCGUGCGGCUUAACCGCAUACCAGCAGUGGAAACUGGGCGACUAGAGUGCGGUAGGGGUCAGGGGAAUUCCCAGUGUAGCGGUGAAAUGCGUAGAUAUUGGGAAGAACACCGGUGGCGAAAGCGCCUGACUGGACCUGCACUGA